AGUGAACGCUGGCGGUAGGCCUAACACAUGCAAGUCGAACGGCAGCACAGUAAGAGCUUGCUCUUACGGGUGGCGAGUGGCGGACGGGUGAGGAAUACAUCGGAAUCUACUUUUUCGUGGGGGAUAACGUAGGGAAACUUACGCUAAUACCGCAUACGACCUACGGGUGAAAGCAGGGGAUCUUCGGACCUUGCGCGAUUGAAUGAGCCGAUGUCGGAUUAGCUAGUUGGCGGGGUAAAGGCCCACCAAGGCGACGAUCCGUAGCUGGUCUGAGAGGAUGAUCAGCUACACUGGAACUGAGACGCGGUCCAGACUCCUACGGGAGGCAGCAGUGGGGAAUAUUGGACAAUGGGCGCAAGCCUGAUCCAGCCAUACCGCGUGGGUGAAGAAGGCCUUCGGGUUGUAAAGCCCUUUUGUUGGGAAAGAAAAGCAGCAGGUUAAUACCCCGCUGUUCUGACGGUACCCAAAGAAUAAGCACCGGCUAACUUCGUG
RNAcentral lists this ribosomal RNA (492 nucleotides) under uncultured bacterium. RNAcentral describes it as "partial 16S ribosomal RNA". It matches the Rfam family "Bacterial small subunit ribosomal RNA", at positions 29 to 507 of the family's 1533-position model. The record is from RNAcentral.